GAGGUGGGAGGAUCGCUUGAGGCCAGGAGUUUGAGGUUCAGUGAGCUAUGAUCAUACCACUGCACUCCAGCCUGAGCAACACAGCAAGACCCUGUCUCA
RNAcentral lists this microRNA precursor (99 nucleotides) under Microcebus murinus (gray mouse lemur). RNAcentral describes it as "miRNA (ENSMICG00000038106.2)". The record is from RNAcentral. Lineage: Eukaryota; Metazoa; Chordata; Mammalia; Primates; Cheirogaleidae.